UACAGGGGGGGCAAGCGUUGUUCGGAAUUACUGGGCGUAAAGGGUUCGUAGGUGGCCACCUAAGUCAGACGUGAAAUCCCUCAGCUUAACUGGGGAACUGCGUCUGAUACUGGGUGGCUUGAGUGCAGGAGAGGAAUGCGGAAUUCCAGGUGUAGCGGUGAAAUGCGUAGAUAUCUGGAGGAACACCGGUGGCGAAGGCGGCAUUCUGGACUGUAAUUGACACUGAGGAACGAAAGCCAGGGGAGCAAACGGG
Molecule: ribosomal RNA, 253 nt
Filed under: uncultured bacterium
Lineage: Bacteria
Description: partial 16S ribosomal RNA
Rfam family: Bacterial small subunit ribosomal RNA
Source: RNAcentral